This is a regulatory RNA element of Aeromonas hydrophila subsp. hydrophila ATCC 7966, 86 nucleotides long. It matches the Rfam family "c-di-GMP-I riboswitch aptamer". From Rfam's summary of the family: GEMM was predicted in a large-scale screen for bacterial structured RNA regulatory elements. Genes associated with GEMM are involved in a diverse array of functions, including chemotaxis regulation, signal transduction, secretion and chitin. The record is from Rfam. Lineage: Bacteria; Pseudomonadati; Pseudomonadota; Gammaproteobacteria; Aeromonadales; Aeromonadaceae.
UAGAGUAAAGGGCAAACCGGUCGAAAGGUCGGGACGCAAAGCCACCGGUCUAAGGGUUCAUAACCUAAGACAGCGGAGCUGCCAUC